AAACUUUUCAGUCACACAAAAGAUGAUGAUGGCUGUGGCGACGAUGGUCCAUAUGGAACCAAUGUACUUUCAAUUAACCUUCAAUUUCAGUCAUAAACCACAAAAAACAUAUUAACAACUCAAUGGACGAGUGUUCAUCUCCGUCCAUUCACACAAUCAUGGCAAUGGUCGCACAGGCUGGUGAAGCCUCAAAAGAUGAUGAUCACCGUUUUUUGUUGUUACAUUGACAUUUGGAAAUUGUAAAUAUCAAAAGUCAAAGAUUCAUAGACAUUGACAACGCAUUGUAUUCAUAGAGUGUGAGAUUUUAUUUGUGGUCGGCACCAUUUUAGAAUUAAAAAAAUUAGUUUUGAAACAA
This is a long non-coding RNA of Stomoxys calcitrans (stable fly), 355 nucleotides long. RefSeq lists it as uncharacterized. Lineage: Eukaryota; Metazoa; Arthropoda; Insecta; Diptera; Muscidae. The record is from RefSeq and is a predicted model, not a curated record. The transcript is spliced from 2 exons.